This 71-nucleotide transfer RNA is filed under the name Dactyloptena peterseni (starry flying gurnard). Its description in RNAcentral is "tRNA-Met". It matches the Rfam family "tRNA". From Rfam's summary of the family: Transfer RNA (tRNA) molecules are approximately 80 nucleotides in length. Their secondary structure includes four short double-helical elements and three loops (D, anti-codon, and T loops). Lineage: Eukaryota; Metazoa; Chordata; Actinopteri; Syngnathiformes; Dactylopteridae. The record is from RNAcentral. RNAcentral also lists the same sequence under 1 other name.
AGUAAUGUAAGCUAAUUUUAAGCUAUUGGGCUCAUGCCCCAAAAAUGGGGGCUAAAUCCCCCCCUUUACAU